Molecule: ribosomal RNA, 440 nt
Filed under: uncultured bacterium
Lineage: Bacteria
Description: partial 16S ribosomal RNA
Rfam family: Bacterial small subunit ribosomal RNA
Source: RNAcentral
CCUACGGGAGACAGCAGUGGGGAAUAUUGCACAAUGGGGGAAACCCUGAUGCAGCGACGCCGCGUGAGUGAAGAAGUAUUUCGGUACGUAAAGCCCUAUCAGCAGGGAAGAAAAUGACGGUACCUGACUAAGAAGCACCGGCCAACUACGGGCCAGAAGCCGUGGCAAUACGUAGGGGGCAAGCGUUAUCCGGAUUUACUGGGUGUAAAGGGAGCGUAGGAGGCAGCGCUAGUCUAGAGUGAAAUUCCAUGGCUUAACCAUCGAAGUGCUGUGGAAACUGUGUAGCUAGAGUGCAGGAGAGGUAAGCGGAAUUCGUGGUGUAGCGGUGAAAUGCGUAGAUAUUAGGAGGAACACCAGUGGCGAAGGCAGCUUACUGGACUGUAACUGACGUUGAGGCUCGAAAGCGUGGGGAGCGAACAGGAUUAGAUACCCUUGUAGUC